UUAACAACAGGGCCUGCUUGAACAAAUAACUCCCAGAGCAAUUCUUCAGUCACCUGAGGAUCAAGAUUGCCGACGUAAGCAGUGGCAUCCUGAUUCCUCUCAGCCGAGUGUUGGCCUAGCAAAUUCGCUCCCACUCCUGGAGCAAUUCGAGUGGUCAUUAUUACGUCUAGCUAAAGUAGCAAAGUUGGGCGGGCCAGUAAGCUGUUCACGUCAGCGGAGGAGUCACGGUGGAGGUUUGCAGCUAGGCG
Molecule: unclassified non-coding RNA, 248 nt
Filed under: Hevea brasiliensis (rubber tree)
Lineage: Eukaryota; Viridiplantae; Streptophyta; Magnoliopsida; Malpighiales; Euphorbiaceae
Source: RNAcentral